Molecule: non-coding RNA, 73 nt
Filed under: Hydrogenophaga sp.
Lineage: Bacteria; Pseudomonadati; Pseudomonadota; Betaproteobacteria; Burkholderiales; Comamonadaceae
Source: RNAcentral
CGCGCUCACAGCGCCGAUUUGAUCCGAAUUGCGGGCGCUUUAAAAAUGCCGCUAAAGAAGAGACUCCUGGCCC